AACGGAGGAAAAGAAACCAACAGGGAUUGCCCUAGUAACGGCGAGUGAAGCGGCAACAGCUCAAAUUUGAAAUCUGGCUUCGGCCCGAGUUGUAAUUUGUAGAGGAAGCUUUAGGCGCGGCACCUUCUGAGUCCCCUGGAACGGGGCGCCAUAGAGGGUGAGAGCCCCGUAUAGUUGGAUGCCUAGCCUGUGUAAAGCUCCUUCGACGAGUCGAGUAGUUUGGGAAUGCUGCUCAAAAUGGGAGGUAAAUUUCUUCUAAAGCUAAAUAUUGGCCAGAGACCGAUAGCGCACAAGUAGAGUGAUCGAAAGAUGAAAAGCACUUUGAAAAGAGGGUUAAAUAGCACGUGAAAUUGUUGAAAGGGAAGCGCUUGUGACCAGACUUGCGCCGGGCGGAUCAUCCGGUGUUCUCACCGGUGCACUCCGCCCGGCUCAGGCCAGCAUCGGUUCUCGUGGGGGGAUAAAGGCCCUGGGAACGUAGCUCCUCCGGGAGUGUUAUAGCCCAGGGUGUAAUGCCCUCGCGGGGACCGAGGUUCGCGCAUCUGCAAGGAUGCGCGAAGACGGGAGGU
This 566-nucleotide ribosomal RNA is filed under the name Chaetomium sp. Its description in RNAcentral is "eukaryotic LSU rRNA". It matches the Rfam family "Eukaryotic large subunit ribosomal RNA", at positions 49 to 627 of the family's 3401-position model. Lineage: Eukaryota; Fungi; Ascomycota; Sordariomycetes; Sordariales; Chaetomiaceae. The record is from RNAcentral.